This 209-nucleotide long non-coding RNA is filed under the name Mytilus galloprovincialis (Mediterranean mussel). Lineage: Eukaryota; Metazoa; Mollusca; Bivalvia; Mytilida; Mytilidae. The record is from RNAcentral.
UUUCCCCCCUUUUCGUGAUUUGUUUACAUCCAUCUUUCGCAUAUUCGCCGGACAUUUUCUAACGUAAGACAAGGGUGAAACUGCUUCAAAAGCUACCAAAAUGAAGAUCGUUAUCUAUAAUUUCGAUCUGCAUUACAGUAUUCAUGAAAAGCAGUUCACGUGUUCGAUUAUUAUGAGUUAUUCUCUCUUCAGUCUUCUCCGACGUCAAG